Long non-coding RNA from Bos indicus x Bos taurus (hybrid cattle), 1044 nucleotides. NCBI's taxonomy places the organism in Eukaryota, Metazoa, Chordata, Mammalia, Artiodactyla, Bovidae. The record is from Ensembl.
AUGGACAGAAUUUCUUUUUUUUUUUUUUUUUCAGAAUUUCAUGACAUUGUACAGGAGACAGGGAUCAAGACCAUCCCCAAGAAAAAGAAAUGCAAAAAGGCAAAAUGGCUGUCUGAGGAGGCCUUACAAAUAGCUGCGAAAAGAAGAGAAGCAAAAAGCAAAGGAGAAAAGGAAAGAUACACCCAUCUGAAUGCAGAAUUCCAAAGAAUAGCAAGGAGAGAUAAAGCCUUUCUCAGCGAUCAAUGCAAAGAAAUCGAGGAAAACAAUAGAAUGGGAAAGACUAGAGCUUUCUUCAAGAAAAUUAGAGAUACCAAGGGAAUAUUUCAUGCAAAGAUGGGCUCGAUAAAGGACAGAAAUGGUAUGGACUUAACAGAAGCAGAAGAUAUUAAGAAGAGAUGGCAAGAAUACACAGAAGAACUAUACAAAAAAGAUCUUCACAACCCUGAUAAUCACAAUGGUGUGAUCAGUCACCUAGAGCCAGACAUCCUGGAAUGUGAAGUCAAGUGGGCCUUAGGAAGCAUCACUACAAACAAAGCUAGAGGAGGUGAUGGAAUUCCAGUUGAGCUAUUCCAAAUCCUAAAAGAUGAUGCUGUGAAAGUGCUGCACUCAAUAUGCCAGCAAAUUUGGAAAACUCUGCAGUGGCCACAAGACUGGAAAAGGUCAGUUUUUAUUCCAGUCCCAAAGAAAGGCAAUGCCGAAGAAUGCUCAAACUACCACACAAUUGCUCUCAUCUCACAUGCUAGUAAAGUAAUGCUCAAAAUUCUCCAAGCCAGGCUUCAGCAAUAUGUGAACUGUGAACUUCCAGAUGUUCAAGCUGGUUUUAGAAAAGGCAGGGGAACCAGAGAUCAAAUUGCCAACAUCUGCUGGAUCAUGGAAAAAGCAAGGGCAUUUCAGAAAAACAUCUAUUUCUGCUUUACUGACUAUGCCAAACCCUUUGACUAUGUGGAUCACAAUAAACUGGAAAAUUCUGAAAGAGAUGGGGAUACCAGACUACCUGACCUACCUCUUGAGAAACCUAUCUGCAGGUCAGGAAGCAACAAUUAG